AUUUUAGAGAGAGAGUGUGUGGCAUGGGAGUGGAGGCAGGACGUGGAAGGAGAAUCGUGAGCCCACGCUGCACUGAACACAGACCCUGUGUGGGGCUCAAUCCCACAACCAUGAGAUCCAUCCAGAGCCAAAAUCAAGAGUCAGUCGCUUACCCUGCUGAGCCAUCAUCCAUCUCCUUGGGCAUUAGUGUUGUUCCGUUCCCUGUGAUCUGCACCACCGCUGUGCUGAACACUCCUGAAAAUACAACUGAAAAACCCAGCCAGAGCUCCUGGGGGUGAGUCCAAGGACGAGCAUGCUAGGUGAUGGGUGCACCUGCGACCUGGGAUGGGUGCUGCCCACUGCCCUCCCAGACAGGGGUGCCCAACACCCUUCUCUCCAGGGUACCAGCAGGGCUGCGUGUUCUCAGGCACCUGAGGGCCACCCGGCCCAGGAAUUCACCUUCUCCAGCAGAGGGCAGAUAGGGCGUCUUUCUCUGGCCAGGAUUAGGAACCCUGAUCCUGGGAAAGGAGAGCUCUUCUGGACUCCUGGCCCAGCCAAGCAGCCGUGGGCACGGUGUAUGUGACGGAGCCAGAGCGGCUGGGCCUUGGAGGGAAUGAGUGUCUUAAACCAGCUUUGCACAGGUCAUGCGGGAGCAGUGGCCCCUGCUUCUUGGUGAGCAGUGAUGUGCGUGGAAGGAAGGAGGCCGGGGUGGAGCCUUCCCAGCCACACCACAGUCUCUCCCUUGGUCCUGAAACCAGCAGGAAGGGAGCUCCGAGGGUGGAGACGAGACUCCAGGAGGAUUUCCAUCCAGGGAAAGGAGGCCCGCAGCCCCCGGAGGGCACUGAAGCUGCCAGCCCCGCCGGCCCCCAGGCCAUUUGCACAGGAUCACCUCCGGCACUUCCGUAGAAUGUUGUCCGUGUUUGUGUGUGGACAGUGAUUGGCCCACUCAGUGCUGGUGCAUUUCCAGAGGCAGACUAGCCAGUGCCUGCUAGUGGGACAGAAGACCCCCACCCAGAGAAGCCGAGGAUGUCCCUCUUCCUCCGGGGCUGGGGAAGGCAGCCACUGUCCUGGGGCAGGACCUGGUCCAGGUCCAGGACGCCUGGGACCCUGCAAGAGUUCUUCAUUCACUUGUCAGCCAAGCAAGUGAAAGAACCAACCCCCCCCCCACAAUGCUCAGGUUCUAACCGAAGCAGAAUUUCCAUGUACUCUUCAAGUCCAGAUUUACUGUGUGCAGCAAGGACGCCUGCCCCUCCCCACUAGGUGUUGCUGGUCGACCAGGAGGGGGAGUCUGGCUGGAGGGACAGGUGGUAGCUACAGGACAGAGCAACACGUCUGAGCUAGCAGAAGCCACACUCUGGUCUCCCUCCCAGAGCCUGCCCGGGAGCUGGAAUCUGGGUGCCCUAGGGGCCAGCACACAACAGGGUCUGUGCCGACCAGGGAGCCAUGGCCCCCAGGGAGAGUCCACUCUGUCCUCUCCCCACUCAUGCCCGUCCUCACCUCUCCUCACUGUGCGGCUCCUGGGCCCAGAACCAGGCCCACAGGGCUGCUCAG
This is a long non-coding RNA of Ailuropoda melanoleuca (giant panda), 1530 nucleotides long. RefSeq lists it as uncharacterized. The transcript has 3 exons. Lineage: Eukaryota; Metazoa; Chordata; Mammalia; Carnivora; Ursidae. The record is from RefSeq and is a predicted model, not a curated record.